CGCGGCCUAUCAGCUUGUUGGUGAGGUAACGGCUCACCAAGGCUAUGACGGGUAGCUGGUCUGAGAGGACGAUCAGCCACACUGGGACUGAGACACGGCCCAGACUCCUAUGGGAGGCAGCAGUGGGGAAUAUUGCGCAAUGGGCGAAAGCCUGACGCAGCAACGCCGCGUGCGGGAUGACGGCCUUCGGGUUGUAAACCGCUUUCGGCAGGGAAGAAGCGAAAGUGACGGUACCUGCAGAAGAAGCACCGGCUAACUACGUGCCAGCAGCCGCGGUAAUACGUAGGGUGCAAGCGUUGUCCGGAUUUAUUGGGCGUAAAGAGCUCGUAGGCGGUCUGUCGCGUCGGAUGUGAAAACUCGGAGCUCAACUCCGAGCCUGCAUCCGAUACGGGCAGACUAGAGUGUGGUAGGGGAGACUGGAAUUCCUGGUGUAGCGGUGAAAUGCGCAGAUAUCAGGAGGAACACCGAUGGCGAAGGCAGGUCUCUGGGCCAUUACUGACGCUGAGGAGCGAAAGCGUGGGGAGCAAACAGGAUUAGAUACCCUGGUAGUCCACGCCGUAAACGGUGGGCGCUAGGUGUGGGGAACAUUCCACGUUCUCCGUGCCGCAGCUAACGCGUUAAGCGCCCCGCCUGGGGAGUACGG
Molecule: ribosomal RNA, 643 nt
Filed under: uncultured actinomycete
Lineage: Bacteria; Bacillati; Actinomycetota; Actinomycetes; Actinomycetales
Description: bacterial SSU rRNA
Rfam family: Bacterial small subunit ribosomal RNA
Source: RNAcentral